RNAcentral lists this transfer RNA (139 nucleotides) under Metarhizium acridum CQMa 102. It matches the Rfam family "tRNA". Rfam says of the family: Transfer RNA (tRNA) molecules are approximately 80 nucleotides in length. Their secondary structure includes four short double-helical elements and three loops (D, anti-codon, and T loops). The record is from Rfam by way of RNAcentral. Lineage: Eukaryota; Fungi; Ascomycota; Sordariomycetes; Hypocreales; Clavicipitaceae.
GACACUUUGGCCGAGUGGUUAAGGCGAUGCCCUGCGUACGUAGCAACUCACUAAUAUCUGAAUCUAACUCAAUCACUAACCUAUGAUAAAUAGUAAGGCAUUACAUUCGUGUGCGCAGGUUCGAAUCCUGCAGGUGUCG